ACAGGUAGACGAUUCUUGGUCAUUUAGAGGAAGUAAAAGUCGUAACAAGGUUUCCGUAGGUGAACCUGCGGAAGGAUCAUUACAGAGUUCAUGCCCUUCGGGGUAGAUCUCCCACCCUUGUGUAUCAUUAUAGAAUGUUGCUUUGGCGGGCCGCGCCUAGUGUGCCUGGAUUCGCGUUCAGCGUGCCCGCCAGAGGACCCCUAAACUCUGAAUGUUAGUGUCGUCUGAGUACUAUUAAAUAGUUAAAACUUUCAACAACGGAUCUCUUGGUUCUGGCAUCGAUGAAGAACGCAGCGAAAUGCGAUAAGUAAUGUGAAUUGCAGAAUUCAGUGAAUCAUCGAAUCUCUGAACGCACAUUGCGCCCCCUGGUAUUCCGGGGGGCAUGCCUGUUCGAGCGUCAUUUAUACCAAUCUAGCCCGGCUAGGUGUUGGGCUUCGCCGUUUGGCGGGCCUUAAAACCAGUGGCGGUGCUCUUAGGCUCUACGCGUAGUAAUUUUCUCGCUAUAGGGUCCUGGGAGAUGCUUGCCAGCAACCCCAAAUUUUUCUUAGGUUGACCUCGGAUCAGGUAGGGAUACCCGCUGAACUUAAGCAUAUCAAUAAGCGGAGGAAAA
This 610-nucleotide ribosomal RNA is filed under the name uncultured Lachnum. RNAcentral's name for it is "eukaryotic LSU rRNA". The stretch from base 247 to 400 matches the Rfam family "5.8S ribosomal RNA". The record is from RNAcentral. Lineage: Eukaryota; Fungi; Ascomycota; Leotiomycetes; Helotiales; Hyaloscyphaceae.